RNAcentral lists this non-coding RNA (45 nucleotides) under Schistosoma mansoni. The record is from RNAcentral. Lineage: Eukaryota; Metazoa; Platyhelminthes; Trematoda; Strigeidida; Schistosomatidae.
AUCAAGCUGACGAGUCCCAAACGGGACGAAACGCGCAUCCUGCAU